This 73-nucleotide transfer RNA is filed under the name Lactobacillus phage LBR48. It matches the Rfam family "tRNA". From Rfam's summary of the family: Transfer RNA (tRNA) molecules are approximately 80 nucleotides in length. Their secondary structure includes four short double-helical elements and three loops (D, anti-codon, and T loops). Lineage: Duplodnaviria; Heunggongvirae; Uroviricota; Caudoviricetes. The record is from Rfam by way of RNAcentral.
GAGUCCUUAGCUCAGUGGUAGAGCGGGCGACCUUAAAUCGCCAUGGACGUGGGACCGUACCCCACAGGACUCA